GGUUCUCACAGGCUCGAACAAUGCUGGUUUCAUGAAAUGCAACCGAAGGCUGAACCAAGGCAGUGCAACUUAGAAGCACACACACAAACACCACAGCUGACCAGGAACUUAGUGCAAAGUCUCCAACGCAGUCGGCGGUCCCGGCCCCUCCCUCCCCCGGGGCCGCCGGGGAUCCAGAGGGACUCGGGAGAGCGGAACGUCGGGCUUCCCGGGUCUGACAACUGAUUGGAAUCGGCUUCCCAGGUCCGGCGCCCUCCUGAGCUGCGCCCCCGGCGCGCCCCGGCGGCCAGGGCGCCCUGCCUCGCCCCCGGCUGCCCGGCACCUCCUCCGGGCAGCAGCCCUCCCUCACGUGGUAGGCUCCUCGCUAAACACCACUGCAAUCACUACAAUAAAAAGAAAAAAAGGAGUAGGAGAAACACAAAGCAUACUUAAAUAGGCGCUUUUUCUCUCUGCAAAAAUAAAGUCCAAGAUUUUAGAUUUCUUUUUUUUUUAUUUUACAAUUUAUAAAACAUCAGCCGCCUGCCCCCGCUCGCCCCCAGCUCAGCCCCGAGUGGCGGCCGGGGCGCGAGGGUCCCGCGGGCAGAGCGCAGCGGGCGCGGGCGGCGGCAGCGGCAGCGGCAGCGGCGCAGGACCCGGCUGCAGAGGCUCCAAGGGCUGCCCGCGGUGGGGCGCGCCGUGCGGCGGCUGGAGCGCGGC
RNAcentral lists this long non-coding RNA (696 nucleotides) under Homo sapiens (human). Its description in RNAcentral is "HSALNT0155849". Lineage: Eukaryota; Metazoa; Chordata; Mammalia; Primates; Hominidae. The record is from RNAcentral.